AGGCAGCAGUGAGGAAUAUUGGUCAAUGGGCGGAAGCCUGAACCAGCCAAGUCGCGUGAGGGAAUAAGGCCCUACGGGUCGUAAACCUCUUUUGCCGGGGAGCAAGGGCGGGACGUGUCCCGGCCCGGAGAGUACCCGGAGAAAAAGCAUCGGCUAACUCCCGUGCC
This 167-nucleotide ribosomal RNA is filed under the name uncultured bacterium. Its description in RNAcentral is "partial 16S ribosomal RNA". It matches the Rfam family "Bacterial small subunit ribosomal RNA", at positions 346 to 509 of the family's 1533-position model. The record is from RNAcentral.